CGAGCGUCAGUGAUGAGCAAUUCCAAUAUGUUAUCCUUGCACUAUGAUUGCCAGUGAAGAAACUAAUGGGGAAUGAUUACUCUGAGAUGCUC
Molecule: small nucleolar RNA, 92 nt
Organism: Vigna angularis (adzuki bean)
Lineage: Eukaryota; Viridiplantae; Streptophyta; Magnoliopsida; Fabales; Fabaceae
Rfam family: Small nucleolar RNA snoR26
Source: Rfam